RNAcentral lists this small RNA (166 nucleotides) under Chrysemys picta bellii (western painted turtle). RNAcentral's name for it is "TUC338 (ENSCPBG00000011045.1)". The record is from RNAcentral. Lineage: Eukaryota; Metazoa; Chordata; Testudines; Emydidae.
GUGCCCCGGCGACUAGAUCUCUGUUUCUCCAGAGCGGGUGCAGCCUGGGCAGCAGCAGGGCAAGAUUCCCCUCCACUAACUGCCUGGCCAAUGUGCCACAACCCUGCCCUGGAGACAUCAGCCUGGCUAGCAAAGGCGGUGGGGUCACUGGCAGUCCGUGGAUAUG